This 301-nucleotide ribosomal RNA is filed under the name uncultured bacterium. RNAcentral describes it as "partial 16S ribosomal RNA". It matches the Rfam family "Bacterial small subunit ribosomal RNA", at positions 509 to 809 of the family's 1533-position model. The record is from RNAcentral.
CAGUCGCCACGGUAAUACGAAGGGUGCAAGCGUUAAUCGGAAUUACUGGGCGUAAAGCGUGCGUAGGCGGUGAGUUAAGUCUGCUGUGAAAUCCCCGGGCUCAACCUGGGAAUGGCAGUGGAUACUGGCUCGCUAGAGUGUGUCAGAGGAUGGUGGAAUUCCCGGUGUAGCGGUGAAAUGCGUAGAGAUCGGGAGGAACAUCAGUGGCGAAGGCGGCCAUCUGGGACAACACUGACGCUGAGGCACGAAAGCGUGGGGAGCAAACAGGAUUAGAUACCCCGGUAGUCCCUGUCUCUUAUAA